UCUAAGGAAGGCAGCAGGCGCGCAAAUUACCCAAUUCUAACAGCAUAAGAGAGGUAGUGACAAGAAAUAACAGUACAAGGCAGUUAAAAUGCUUUGUAAUUGGAAUGAUAGA
RNAcentral lists this ribosomal RNA (112 nucleotides) under Hepatozoon sp. Its description in RNAcentral is "partial small subunit ribosomal RNA". It matches the Rfam family "Eukaryotic small subunit ribosomal RNA", at positions 415 to 521 of the family's 1831-position model. The record is from RNAcentral. Lineage: Eukaryota; Apicomplexa; Hepatozoidae.